Non-coding RNA from Biomphalaria pfeifferi, 303 nucleotides. NCBI's taxonomy places the organism in Eukaryota, Metazoa, Mollusca, Gastropoda, Planorbidae. The record is from the annotation of a GenBank genome assembly.
GAUUCUCUAUCUCUUCUAUACAAAUUACGAUCUAAUUUUAAUACACAAUGAGGCCCGUUGUGUGCACUGAAAUGAAUGAAACGUUACUUUAGACUAGAGAUAUUGCUGAGGAUGUGGGGAUAUACUGCGGGUGAAUAUAUCACCAGACGCGCUUGAUGAGUUGUGUUCUUUGUAAUCAUGUUAUAGUUUUGCUAAACUGUUCUUUAUUCAUUCUAAUAUAAAAAAAAGAUGAAAUAAAAUGGAAACUACGUACUGUAUUGAAACUUUAAAUGUUUUAUUGUACUUUGACCUUUUCUUUAAUUU